CGGGGCGUGGGGGAGUCUGGUUGUCCCCGCCGGCCUUGGAAGCCGUGAGACCGCAGGUUCAAAUCCUGCCGCCCCGACCA
Molecule: transfer RNA, 80 nt
Filed under: Rhizobiaceae bacterium
Lineage: Bacteria; Pseudomonadati; Pseudomonadota; Alphaproteobacteria; Hyphomicrobiales; Rhizobiaceae
Also listed under: 1 other name
Description: tRNA-Pro
Rfam family: tRNA
About the family: Transfer RNA (tRNA) molecules are approximately 80 nucleotides in length. Their secondary structure includes four short double-helical elements and three loops (D, anti-codon, and T loops).
Source: RNAcentral